GACAGUAUGGUGUAAUGGUUAGCACUCUGGACUAUGAAUCCAGCAAUCAGAGUUCAAAAUCUCUGUAGAACCU
This is a non-coding RNA of Danionella cerebrum, 73 nucleotides long. NCBI's taxonomy places the organism in Eukaryota, Metazoa, Chordata, Actinopteri, Cypriniformes, Danionidae. The record is from the annotation of a GenBank genome assembly.